GCGUGCAAGCCACGGGAGGAAAUGCCCGCGGCGAGCUCGGUACAAUUGAAUAGGGAACGUGAGCUGGGUUUAGACCGUCGUGAGACAGGUUAGUUUUCCCCUACUGAUGACCGUCGCCGCAAUGGUAAUUCAGCUUAGUACGAGAGGAACCGCUGAUUCAGAUAAUUGGUUUUUGCGGCUGUCUGACAAGGCAGUGCCGCGAAGCUACCAUCUGCUGGAUAAUGGCUGAACGCCUCUAAGUCAGAAUCCAUGCCAGAAAGCGGUGAUUUUCUCCCACACAUCGUAGUCGGAUACGAAUAGGCCUCGGCCCU
Molecule: ribosomal RNA, 311 nt
Filed under: Acidithiobacillus sp. MC6.1
Lineage: Bacteria; Pseudomonadati; Pseudomonadota; Acidithiobacillia; Acidithiobacillales; Acidithiobacillaceae
Description: partial 23S ribosomal RNA
Rfam family: Eukaryotic large subunit ribosomal RNA
Source: RNAcentral